Molecule: ribosomal RNA, 502 nt
Filed under: uncultured bacterium
Lineage: Bacteria
Description: bacterial SSU rRNA
Rfam family: Bacterial small subunit ribosomal RNA
Source: RNAcentral
GAGUUUGAUCCUGGCUCAGAUUGAACGCUGGCGGCAGGCCUAACACAUGCAAGUCGAGCGGUAGAGAGAAGCUUGCUUCUCUUGAGAGCGGCGGACGGGUGAGUAAUGCCUAGGAAUCUGCCUGGUAGUGGGGGAUAACGCUCGGAAACGGACGCUAAUACCGCAUACGUCCUACGGGAGAAAGCAGGGGACCUUCGGGCCUUGCGCUAUCAGAUGAGCCUAGGUCGGAUUAGCUAGUUGGUGAGGUAAUGGCUCACCAAGGCGACGAUCCGUAACUGGUCUGAGAGGAUGAUCAGUCACACUGGAACUGAGACACGGUCCAGACUCCUACGGGAGGCAGCAGUGGGGAAUAUUGGACAAUGGGCGAAAGCCUGAUCCAGCCAUGCCGCGUGUGUGAAGAAGGUCUUCGGAUUGUAAAGCACUUUAAGUUGGGAGGAAGGGCAGUAAAUUAAUACUUUAGCUGUUUUGACGUUUACCGACAGAAUAAGCACCGGCUAACUCU